UGAGCCUUAUCAGCAGUUCAGCACACGCUGCUUUCUCCUUCAUCUCCUCCGGCUCGGACCGAACCGAGCUCCCUUCGCUGGUCGAUUCCGACCAUCUCCGGCAGCCCCUUCUCGAUUCUUCACUUGAGCACCUCCCUCGCCACCUCUUCCAGCUUCCCAAGCCCCUGGUCGAGCUGCUCCCCGGCCGAAUCCGCCAGAAUCGAUCCUGCCACUGCCGGCCGCCACUAGAGUUUCUCCCGUCGCUCCGGUCUGUCGUCGACGACCCUCCUCCAGCCCUCCUCCUAGCCCACCCACGUGCAAAAAUCGAAUACCCGGUGAGCCUUCGAUCCAUCCGGGUUGUUUCCCUCUGUUUCGCACAUCGCCGGCGCCGAAACGCAGUCGCGUCGCCAUGGUCGACCCGUCGCCGUCUCUGUUGCCGCGCUCCUCGUGAGCCGCAAGCGUCCAGAGCCGUGCCACGCCACCGAGCGCGCCGGCCCCUCCGGGGCUCGCUGGCCACGGGCCCGCUCUGCCCCGCCGCCGGCCGCGGGCCCUCCCUGACCCGUCGGCGCCGACCUCAUCCACGCACCGCGAUGGGGUGCCUCUCCUCUGCGGCGCAGAACCCGUCCCCUCGCCUCGUCCUCCACUCCUCCCACCCCCUCCACCUCAACUUCCCCCUCCCCCUACCCAUGCCUCUCUGCCUGGUCCCCCGCCCCGGCCAGCGCGGCGACCUCCGCCCGAAGCCCUUAGCUCGACUUCAAUGACCGGGGCCUAGAUGCGGCUAGGCAGUCGGCCUCACCUCACCUCCACCGCACCUCCCUUUCUGUGUUUCCAUCUCGCCUCCCACGCCGCCUCUCGCGACCCGGACAGAUCGUACCCUCCCAGCACGGCGGCCAUGGAGAGGCUGAUCUCUUUCGUCAACAAGCUGCAGCGGGCCUGCGCGGCCCUCGGCGACCACGGCCAGCAGAGCGCCCUACCAACGCUCCAGAGCUUGCUGCCGGCCAUGCAGUCGUUGGAGGCCAGGUGAUCGGCUCCCCUUUCUUUGCACGCAUUUUGGGUUGGUUCCUAUCGGAUGCAAUCACAACUGCGCGGGGCGACUAUCACGGGUUGCUUGUGGCCAUGGAUGCCCCGUCCUCCCUCUCCUCCCUUCCCUUCAUCUUCCUCACCAGGCAAGGUAAGAUUCACCUCUGUGUUUUAGCUUCCUUUACCCUUUGGGUGGACAGAAGAUUGACCCAGUAUGCAGUAGUCCGAUUUGGGCGAGGAACAACUCUAUGAGAACACAGGGUAGCAGCCUAGCAAGCCAGUCGGUCAAUGCUUGCAUCCUGCAGUGUAGCCACGGAAGUGGUCCUCACCACUGAACAGCAACAUUCAGGUAUGCAUACUAUUCAAAGUUCUAAUACAUAUUUUUGCAACUUUUUGUUACUGCAUUUAGACAUCAGAUUUAUGUAUUUUAGCUACUCACCGUAUAUCCAUACAUUUGCAACAAAGAGGAAAGAAAAAGAAAAUUUUUGUUCUUUAGCUUAUACGGUCCUUCAAUAUUCCAAAGAAUCUCAAUUUCUCUUUCCGCUUUAUUUUGUAUACCAGCUGGGUUCUUCAUCUUUAUUGCUUAGUAGAUCAGAAUGACAAAGACUCUAGAAUCAAGUUAUUUGCACCGUUUAUAUCAGAAGUGUGCUAUCCCUUGCAGCAUAAUUAAAUCCAAUUGCUUUGCAUCGAUCACAGCAAAACAAGAUGCCUAGGCGAUAGAUAAAUAAUCCUUGCAGGAAUAUUGGUUCAGAGUCUACACAAAAACAGCAGGCAUGAUACUAAUAGUGUGGACUUUACCAAGUUACAGGUAGGUGACUGUUUAAAAUUCUAAGCUGGCUACCCUUUUACUCUUUUGACAAUUACAUGUCAAAUAGUUUUAAAUCACUGAAACCUUUAAAACAGAUUUAUCAUAGUUUGAAAUUGAUGUGCAGCACAGGCCUCACCAGGGUUUGCUCUUGGUAGAAGGUUCCAGUUCUGUGUCCCAGCAGAUUUCCUAUCUACUCAUCAAGCAUUUAUUUUUCUUCAGUUAAGUUUUGCGAAAAAAAAGCUUCAGGCAAGGUACAAAAUUUGUUUCAGACUUAAUGAAAAAUAUAAAACCAGAUUAAGUAUGCUUUUGAUUUCCGUAUCUAUACUACACUUUUUCAUUUGGAAAAAUUUUGCUUCGCCAAUACCUACUGUGCAUGUAGUUCUGCAGUAACAGAAAUUAAAAAGCACAUUUCAGGAACUCAUAUGCUGUCUUUAUCAUUUAUGUAGGCUAUUCAGGAAAGAAGCAGGGUUGAGGAGAUUCGAGUGCUGUUCAAGUUUAGCUACUACUUGGGCGCUAUAGAAUGUCAAUGGAUUGAACCAGUUAAGUAUUUUUCUUUCUCCUUUCCAUGUACAGUUAGAAAAGCUAUCUACAGACCAUGCAGUCCUGAUGUGCACUACCUUCUGGGAUGAUUAUUUCUUUUCCCAUGAGGCUAUGAACAGCUGCAGGCUCUCUUAGUUUACUACAUUAUAAAAUAUAUAUGCCUGCCCAUGUUAAACUACCACCUGUGUCUAUUGGUUUUUAGGGUAUCCAAAACAAUGUAUUGUGUCAUUUUUUUUGCGAGUAUGUACUGUGUCAUAUAUGGCGUGAUGUGUAUUACCAUGGAUAGACACUGAUCUACAGGAUACUUCAUCCAGCCAAGAUCCAUGUAAACAAAAUAAAUGCCUAUAGAAUUGGUAUUCACCGUCCAUUAUUUCUUACCAAAUGCUAAUUAUCCGCAUUUAUUUACUAAAACGAAAACCAUAUCUCUUCGAAGAUCCAAAUAUGGUUGCAGAAACUUUUGAGUAGAACUCCAAUUGUGAACCGAUACUAGAGAUGAUUAUUACACUAUAGAUACAGAUAGAUUGAAUGACUCAUCAUGUUUUUUUAGCCUUACAGCGAACCCGGAGAAUGGAAGUGCAAAUGCUAGGUAACUACUCAAACACAAUGGCUCUGUUCUCAAAUGUAUAAAAUCAUAAUAAUAAAUUUAUUUUGUUUCCAUUCAUACAGUUCCAAACUUACACAACUAUAUUUUCCUUCCAUUAUAUCGACCAGCAUGUCUAAAACUUGGAAGUUAUUCGAUAAUUCACCUUUUUCCCUCACUGCCCAUCAUUAGCUGAUUCCUCCUAAAAUUUAAAAAAGAAUAUGCGCGCAGGGCAAUCACAAUCAAAGAAAUACGAAAAGAUUUAUUCGUUUAAUCAUAGCAAUCAUCCUCGCCACAUUUGCAGCCCCUUAUAUGGUGCCCAUUUUCAAAAUGCUUCAUCAGCUAUAUUGAAACCUACCUCUCUCCCAUACCAAUACACCCUCAGCUAUUCCAUGGCCAUAGCUCUACCAGUCAAUACCAUUUGGAAAGAAAAUGGAACAGCUUCUGUGUAAUAUCUUAUACAGAUUAUUAGGCACUCUUAUCUCACCAACAACAGUAUGAACCAUUGUAUUUUGGUUAUGUGUCCUGAGGUUAGGAGGUUCCUUUAGUUUCAGAGCCCCAAAACUCUUUUCUACUGCACCUAUUAAUGACAUAUGUACUGUAUUGUGCUGAAGUCGUUUACACAGCUUGGGAUGCUACCAAAAAUUUUCUAAAUUCAAAUGUUGCCAAACAACUUCUACAUGAAAAAACAUACCUCUUUCAGUUCAAUUCAACGAAUGAUAUCCUUCCAGCCUUCAUUGCCAAAAAAAAGGAAAAUCAUGUCACUUCCUAGAGCACUAAUAAAUAUAACCUUAUUACAGGUAAUAUCACACUCUGUUACCUAUUUCAGAAGCACAACUGAACUGAUAUCUUAUAUUUUAAAAUUUAAAUGGCCUGCAGGAGACCAUGUGCAACAAAUGCUUUAUGAAAGCAACUGGAGACUCCAGGAACUUUAUAAUCCAAUUUCUCAGUUACCAAUAAAAUAUUUUAGUGGAGCUUCUAGGGGGAAAAACAUAGUUGUUAGCUUUAUUACCAUUGUAAACAAAUCUACCUAUGUAUUUAGAUUCGUACUAGAAGACUAAAUGAUACUUCUCUGUAGAUAACAUGUGGCAUUAUAAAUAUAUGAUUUCUAUAUUUACUCAUGUUGAGAAAAAGAAGGAAAAAAAAAAGGAGCGCCAAAGCCUACAGGUAACAAGAGCCGCCAUAGACCCAAAGGAUUUUAUGAUCGAAUGUAUCAGGACCAAAAAAAUGUUUAGCUAUAGAAUCUCCCUAAUGAUAUGUACUUCUGCAUAUAAAUUUCAAUGCAAAUCAUAGAUAUCAGCUUUAAUAUCAUUAUGUGCAAAUGUACUUCUUCGUUUAGAUUCCUAUAGUAUAAAUAAAUAGUAUCUGUGCUGCUUAAAUGUUCUAUUACAAGCAUAUAAAUUUAAGAUUUACUUAUAUAAAAAAAUUAAGCCAAGGCACGCCAAGGCGCGCGCAAAGUACUCGUAUAUAUCAUUCGCGCACCGCUCCGUGCGAGCUCAGGGCGGCCACGAUAGAAAAAAGCUGCGGUCCGCACGAUGUCCAUCCAACGGCCCGUGGGCCCACUCUCUCCCCCUCCUCCCCAGCCAUUGGCUGGAGCCUUCUUGUGUCUUCCCUAUGAGCUUCCCCCGCCGGUGCUCCGGAUCUUCCAUGGCAAAGGUGCUGAUGGCGGCGGCGAUAGCUGCUCCCCCCGCCGCCCGACCAUCCCCACUUUCGCUUCCACCGUGGGCUCUUUCUCCGGCGCCCCCUUUUCCCCCACCCGCCCUGCUAGGCUAGUGUUCCCCGCCAGCGCGCCGGUCCUGGCUACGGCCGGCGCCCAACCGCUCCCGAUCUCCUCCCUCCUGUGAUUCCGUGGCCUAACGCCUUAGCCACACCCGCUUCCACGCCACUUCGGCCGCCGCCCUGCCGCACCUUACGCAGCUCCAAUCCCUGGUCCCCGCCUCCUCCACAUCGCGUCUCCGUCACCCCCUCCAACAGCCCCGACUUGCCCUACCUCGAUCUCCGUGCAACGGGAGUAUCUCCCUACGACAAGGUCUGCGUGAUGGAGCUCCCCUACAGCCACGCGUUGUAGGUGCUCAACUUGGUGAUGAAAAAGGACCUCUUCUAGGGGCGUGAGAUUCUGAGUGAGCAAAGGGUACUGGUAGGAUGAGGCUCCAAUGGAGAGAGCUUUCCAUGCCCUUCAUUUUUGCUUCAGUUCUGAUGCACACAGCACACCAACUGCUUGAUGUAUUUCCCAAACAAAAGAUUGAGUACCUAUAUUCUUGUUCUAUCUAUUUUUUUACGGCUAACCAAUACCAGUAUCCACAUAUUUUGAGCUUAUUCCAGGCCGCGAGAUUCGUCGCACUGCCAGGACCAGCCUAAAAUGGAGGAAACUCACAUGUUUCAUGCCUUUCUUUUUUUUCUUCUGACUUCAAUUCUGGUACACACCAGUGUGUGCAGGUCAGCUGAUACAUGUGUUCAUACACAAGCACGGAUUAUCUCCACAAAAGAGCUCAAUCCUCUCUGUAUGAAGUUAUUGUAUAACAAAAUGUCCUUAUACGGUUUCCUUAUUGUUACUACAAUCACCAAAGUCAAAUGGGUUUGAUGUAUAUGUCAUUUUUUUCUAUACAGAUGCAGAGCUUGCCAUUUGAAAAGGAUCUACAUGGAGACAUGGAGGUGCAAGAGGUGAUCCUGUCCAGUCAGCGAUGAGAAUGUGAAAGUGCCAACCUCCGAAAACUUAAUAUUGUUUUGUAUUUAUAAUAUGUUGUGUUAAACCUAUAUGUCCCAGCCAAUAGAUUGCAUAUUAUUCAAAAGGUGCCUACACCUACCUCUUUUGAUCUGUCCACAGCUGCUGACAUGUGCUCCGAUCUAGCUACAUAAAUAAAAGGUCACAAUUCCGUGCUGGAAUGGAGCUAACCAUUCUGUCAAUCUUGCAAAGCAUAUCAUCUAUGUAUUUGUGUUCUGAUUUUAGAAUAUUAGAGCAACUGCUGAUUUCCAAGAUGACUCCGUUACUUAUAAUUCUGCCCUUGUACUACUUUACUCGAGAAUUGUGAACAACCAUUUUUACCCAUGAUGACUGCUGCAUGCACUCCAUCUGGUUCGGGAAUAGGUCAUGUGCAUACUUCAGGUAAACUUCGUUGGCGAUGACUAUGGGUCAGCCAAAGUAGAGCCACCAUGCUGAAGCAAUGGAUAGGUUAUUUUGAGAUGCAUCCCAUGAACAUGCAUUUAAAUUCUUUUAUCCUUUUCUAAAAUAGGGAACUUCUUAUUAUCCUGUUGUGUGAUUGCAAUGGAUCUUAUGUCAAUUUUUUGUUGUGCAAGAAAGAGAGGAAAUGAGGUAAGCGGAUGUGCAGAACUCAAAUAGAGUAUGGGUGAGCCUGAAGAAAUCAGAAAUCUUCUUUCAUCAGUCUUUGCCAAUUUAUGUUCCAACAAUGUAGCUCUUAUAGUUCACAUAUAAAAUGUCCUCACGGGAAUUUCAUCAUAUGUAUUUGCACCCUGGUGUGCUGCAGUUCUGAAUUGUAUUUUUUGGCUGCCGGUGAACUUUAAGUGUGAGUUCUCUGCGUACAUUAGCAUUUCUAUUCCCGCCAGUAUCUUUCAUUUUCAGUGAUUAGCUCACCACCAUAACUGAUGUUAUAAUGUUUACUGAAUAACGAGGAUCAUAGUAUAUAAUGUCACUAUAAAAAGUUGGUAAACAAAUAUUGAGUUCUUCUUCUGCAGGAACAUCUGUAACUGUCUCUAAUUGAUCUUCUGUGUAAUUUGUUCUGUUAUUUUGGCUUAGAGUGUACAAUUUUUAUAGGGUUUCCAAAUAUGAAUCUACACAUGUAUUGUUCUUUACAAACUAUGUUGCUCCUGAAUAGCUGACAAUUUCCAUAAUAUUCUCCCCUUGAUCAUUCAUUUUCCAAUUUAAAGUGCUCCUUGCUUCUUAUUGUCUGCUACAAUUUCAAACCUGUCAGAUAGUGGUUUUCCCUCAUUGAAAACAAUUUUUAAUUA
Long non-coding RNA from Panicum virgatum (switchgrass), 6890 nucleotides. RefSeq lists it as uncharacterized. The record is from RefSeq and is a predicted model, not a curated record. The transcript has 3 exons. NCBI's taxonomy places the organism in Eukaryota, Viridiplantae, Streptophyta, Magnoliopsida, Poales, Poaceae.